Molecule: ribosomal RNA, 253 nt
Filed under: uncultured bacterium
Lineage: Bacteria
Description: partial 16S ribosomal RNA
Rfam family: Bacterial small subunit ribosomal RNA
Source: RNAcentral
UACAGAGGGUGCAAGCGUUAUUCGGAAUUAUUGGGCGUAAAGAGCGCGUAGGCGGUUUGAUAAGUCUGAUGUGAAAACCCUGGGCUCAAUCCAGGAAGUGCAUUGGAUACUGUCAGGCUAGAGUACAGGAGAGGUGGGCGGAAUUCCUGGUGUAGAGGUGAAAUUCGUAGAUAUCAGGAGGAACAACAGUGGCGAAGGCGGCUCACUAGACUGUAACUGACGCUGAGGCGCGAAAGCGUGGGGAGCAAACAGG